GGAAUAUUGCGCAAUGGACGAAAGUCUGACGCAGCGACGCCGCGUGUGGGAUGAAGCCUUUCGGGGUGUAAACCACUGUUGCCCGGGACGAACCUCCUUUUUCGAAAGGACUGACGGUACCGGGUGCGGAAGCACCGGCUAACCCUGUGCCAGCCGCCGCGGUAAUACAGAGGGUGCGAGCGUUGUCCGGAAUCACUGGGCGUAAAGGGCGCGUAGGUGGCUUGGUAAGCGUGUGGUGAAAGUCCGGGGCUCAACCCCGGAUCUGCCGUGCGAACUGCUAGGCUUGAGCAUUGUAGAGGCAGGUGGAAUUCCGGGUGUAGCGGUGGAAUGCGUAGAGAUCCGGAAGAACACCAGUGGCGAAGGCGGCCUGCUGGGCAAUUGCUGACACUGAGGCGCGACAGCGUGGGGAGCAAACAGG
RNAcentral lists this ribosomal RNA (418 nucleotides) under uncultured bacterium. RNAcentral describes it as "bacterial SSU rRNA". It matches the Rfam family "Bacterial small subunit ribosomal RNA", at positions 358 to 776 of the family's 1533-position model. The record is from RNAcentral.